CACGAUGGCAGCCGGACCUAAUAAAGAUUGAUAUGGAAUUGCUGCGAGACAUCCAUCUUAGCCGCGCCAAGCAAGCAAUCGUCGCGGCUAUAGUUGGUAUUGCCCGUACGCUCGAUAUUCAGGUGCUCGCCGAGGGCGUGGAGAACGAACAAGAGCUAGUGGUCUUAAGAGCUGCAGGCAUCUCAUUGUUUCAGGGAUAUCACUUUGCCAAGCCAGCUCUGAUGGCGCUGCCGGAUGUUCACGUGC
Molecule: unclassified non-coding RNA, 246 nt
Filed under: Hevea brasiliensis (rubber tree)
Lineage: Eukaryota; Viridiplantae; Streptophyta; Magnoliopsida; Malpighiales; Euphorbiaceae
Source: RNAcentral